This 497-nucleotide ribosomal RNA is filed under the name uncultured bacterium. Its description in RNAcentral is "partial 16S ribosomal RNA". It matches the Rfam family "Bacterial small subunit ribosomal RNA", at positions 28 to 507 of the family's 1533-position model. The record is from RNAcentral.
GAUGAACGCUGGCGGCGUGCCUAAUACAUGCAAGUCGAGCGAACAGAUAAGGAGCUUGCUCCUCUGACGUUAGCGGCGGACGGGUGAGUAACACGUGGAUAACCUACCUAUAAGACUGGGAUAACUUCGGGAAACCGGAGCUAAUACCGGAUAAUAUAUUGAACCGCAUGGUUCAAUAGUGAAAGACGGUUUUGCUGUCACUUACAGAUGGAUCCGCGCCGCAUUAGCUAGUUGGUAAGGUAACGGCUUACCAAGGCAACGAUGCGUAGCCGACCUGAGAGGGUGAUCGGCCACACUGGAACUGAGACACGGUCCAGACUCCUACGGGAGGCAGCAGUAGGGAAUCUUCCGCAAUGGGCGAAAGCCUGACGGAGCAACGCCGCGUGAGUGAUGAAGGUCUUCGGAUCGUAAAACUCUGUUAUUAGGGAAGAACAAAUGUGUAAGUAACUAUGCACGUCUUGACGGUACCUAAUCAGAAAGCCACGGCUAACUACGUG